GAGGCAGCCAUAAGAAAGCGUUUUAUUUGCAAGCUUAAUGAAGCGCUGAUACAAUGCUGCCAGAUUAAACACCAAAUAGCCAAGAACAAGUCAGCUUAGCGUAGUCCAUAAGCUGAUCUACACGUGGCAUUACAUUC
Molecule: small nucleolar RNA, 137 nt
Organism: Drosophila busckii
Lineage: Eukaryota; Metazoa; Arthropoda; Insecta; Diptera; Drosophilidae
Rfam family: Drosophila small cajal body-specific RNA PsiU2-38.40.4
About the family: Pseudouridylation guide activity for U2 snRNA
Source: Rfam